UUUCUUCCCUUUUCUGUCUGUUGCCAAAGCUCCGAUCAUGCUUUGGCCGUCCGUUUCUGAAUCAGAUCCAUCGCUUUGUUCCGAAGCUUUUCAUCUUUCACUUUCCUUUUCUCUGAUCUGAGCGAUUUCCAUUGUUUCUUCAGUUUCGGACUUCACUCUUAACAAUGUCUUGUUCUUAUCUACGCCCCGAUCCGCCCGCCAGAAUCUUCUCCAUACAGGACGGUGUUUUUGGCCAGAGCUACAUCCGUUGUAACUACUCGGAUGAUCAUUUUGAUCGUCUCCCGGAUUCUCUGCUUCUGCUGAUUUUCAAUAGGAUCGGUGACGUUAAGGCUCUUGGACGUUGUUGUGCAGUUUCUCGAAGAUUUAACUCGAUCGUGUCUCAGGUUGAUAACGUUGUUGUACGAGUUGACUGUGUGAUUUCCGAUGAUGAUUUCUCCUCAG
This 441-nucleotide unclassified non-coding RNA is filed under the name Hevea brasiliensis (rubber tree). The record is from RNAcentral. Lineage: Eukaryota; Viridiplantae; Streptophyta; Magnoliopsida; Malpighiales; Euphorbiaceae.